GCUUGUGCGCAUGUCCCCGCGCAGGGUCGGGCGCUGGGGUGUGGAGACUGAACCUUGCAGACACCCGGGUCCGCACGUCUGGGAUGGACGUGAGACAGUCUCGCUAUAUUACCCAGGCUGGAGUGCAGUGUCAAGAUCUCGACUCACUGCAGCCUUGAACUCCUGGGCUCAAGUGAUCCUCCCACAGUGCUGGGAUUACAGGCGUGAGCCACCGCACCCGGCCUCUAGUUCUGUCUUUUUGCUCAGUAUUAGAAUUCGUAAGUUCUGGCCCCAGCAACUCGUCCUUUCAUCUGUCUCAAGUUGCACUGUGGUGGUCACAGGAGCUGUCCUGCACCUUGCACAUGUGGCCAUGAACAAGACUCGCUCCUUGCUCUCAUGGGGCCUUCAUUCCAGUGAGACACAAAUGCAAACACAAAAUUCCAGAAGAGUGCUGAGUGCUAUCAUGAGAAACGAAGACAGGCUGGAAGAUGGGCUCUGACCCCAGAAAACCGAUGGAGAGGCCCAAGCAGCCUUGGGAGCAACAGGCAAGUUGGAGGACACACGGCAAGGCUACUUGGAAGUAGGGGAGGGUGCAUGGGAAACCCUGAGGCUGUGGGGGGAGAGGCAGGAGCCAGGUGAAGUCCAGGUAGAUGGCAGUGGAGAUGUAAGAACAUGGUGGAAUUUUUUUGUUUUUGAGACGGAGUCUUGCUCUGUCCCCCAGGGUGGAGUGCAAUGGUGAGAUCUCAACUCACUGCAACUUCCGCCUCCCAGGUUCAAGCGAUUCUCUGGGAUUAUAGGCACCUGCCACCAUGCCCAGCUAAUUUUUGUAUUUUUUAGUAGAGAUGGGUUUUCACCAUGUUGGUCAGGCUAGUCUCGAACUCCUGACCGCGGGUGAUCCGCCCGCCUCAGCUUCCCAAAGUGCUGGGAUUACAGGCGUGAGCCACCGCGCCUGGCCAGAACAUGGUGGAAUUUGAGUGUGCUUGGGAAUACACUUAUAGGACUUGCUGAUUAGUUGAAUGAGGAAAUAAAAGAACGAAGAAUAUCUUCUGGGAUUUCAGCCUGAGCAACUGGGUUGCUGGUGGAUGGUGGUUCUCUUAUCAAGGAUGGGAAAGAUGGGUUGUCUCCCCUAAAAUACUGAGUUUUAAAGGCAGGGACUGUAUCUUUGCAGUCCUGGCUCCUAGCAAGGGCCUAGCCCUUAUAUGACAUUCGUGAAUGUUGAAAUGAAUGUGACACGCCUGAAACAAUCCUUCUCCCUCACCUAGGCCCACAUCUCCAAGUCAAUAUUCCAGUACAAGCCACAUCCAGUCCCCUCACUGACACACACAGGCCUGGGCCCAGGAGCUCACCCCUGUGCUGUAAGGCUAGGUGCAUGUGUUAUUUCCAGAGUCUACCCUUGGAGGUGCCUCAGACUCCUGGGUACCUGUCGCUGGGAGGUAGCCAGUCAUGCUGUCCACAUACAUGCUUUUGGGCAGUAGAGAAGCUGAUCAUUGGGAAGGUUUAUUUCCUGUCUCCACAACAGGAGGCAGGUCACAGCAGUGGCCACACAGUGCACAAAAGGCCAUCCCCUCACAGCCGCAUGGUUGGCAUGCAGCAUCUCAGCCUCCAAACUGGAAGCCCCCUAUCCAAGGAGCCCCCAGGUGGGAGAGGAAGGUCACAAGCCUCCCAAGUACCUCAAGAUGCCUGCGCAUCCUCCCCCAUUUCUCAGAUGGGCCAAGGCCUGUGAAGCCCUUGCAGUAGUAGCUCAGGUGUAGCAUCUGCUCAGCUUCCCUCCCCACUCAUUUGCACACAGCCAGAGCUGCGGGACUUCUGCCCUCUGGCCUCCAGCACUGCUGUGAAUCAGAACUAGUCAAGAGAACUGGGUGCUUGUGUUAAAUGGGAACACUCUGGAAUAAAAUAUGGGCUUUUUUAAAGAGAUGGGGUCUCACUAUGUUGCCCAGGCUGGUCUUGAACUCCUGGCCUCAAGCAAUCCUCCCAGGUCAGCCUCCCAAAUUGCUGGGAUUACAGGCGUGAGCCAGCACACCCAGCCCCUGCUAGCUUUUUAAUAUGAACUUCCAGUGUAUUCUUGAGCACUCUCAGGCAACAUGGCCGUUACCGAGCAACUUUGUCCUGAGGUGCAUUUGGAAGGCUCUGGGACUUGGUCCCCAUGCUCAACUUCAGGGCACCUUGGCAGAAAGAAGAGUGGUUCCUACACCAGCAGCUUAUAUAUUAAUGCCCACAUUACUCCAUUUUCUUCAGGUCGUCAAAAAAGGUUCCACUGAGGUGCUGUCUUUCUGUAAAUGAAAAUGAGCUGAAAUGCUCCUGUGACCUGCCCUCCAUUUGUGGGUCUCAUGAUACUAUCUUUCUUCUGCUUAACACGAUGGCAUCAUCCAGUGAGACAGGUCCUGUUUUUGUUUUUUUCUUUUUUUCUUUUUCUUUUUUGAGACAGAGUCUCACUCUGUUGCCCAGGCUGGAGUGCAGUGGAGCAGUCUUGGCUCACUGCAACCUCUGCCUCCCGGGUGCAAGCAGUUCUCCUGCCUCAGCCUUCCAAGCAGCUGGGAUUACAGGUACCUGCGACCAUACCACCUAAUUUUUUGUAUUUUUAGUAGAGAUGGGGUUUCGCCAUGUUGGGCAGGCUGGUCUUGAACUCCUGACCUCAUGAUCUACUGUCUCAGCCUCUCAAAGUGGUGGGAUUAUAGGCGUGAGCCACAGUGCCUGGCUUUUUUUUUUUUUUGGAGACAGCCCCAUCGUUCUGUCGCCAGGCUGGAGUGCAGUGGUGCGAUCUCGGCUCACUGCAACCUCUGACUUCCUGGUUCAAGCGAUUCUUCUGCCUAAGCCUCCUGAGUAGCUGGGAUUACAGGCACACGCCACCAUGCCCGACUAAUUUUUGUAUUCUUAGUAGAGAUGGGGUUUCACCAUGUUGGCCAGGAUGGUCUCGAUCUCCCGGCCUUGUGGUCCACCUGCCUCAGCCACCUACAGUUCUGGGAUUACAGGUGUGAGCCACUGCGGCCGGCAGAGACAGGUCCUUCUUAUCCCUGUAAGGCACAGUAUCUCUGCCAUAGAUUGGGUCCCUGGUUUGGGAAGAGGGUAAAACAAGCCCUCAUUCUUGGGUCUCGUCAUUGGACAAGCUGGCUGGGCAAGUCACAGCAUCCACAUUUGGUGGAACAUGGGUGUUGGUAGACCCCAACCCAGAGAGCUUGCACCCUUGCAGAGGACGUCUCCUUCACUACUGCACUGGCUCCCCCUGCACAGGGGCCUAAACCAGCUUGGGCCUUAGGGAAGCCAAUAGGGGAGGCGUAGCUGCUUGUUCUCCCUCCUGCCCAUCCACUUCAGCUCACCGUAAUAUCCCAAGUGGUCUUCCCCUUGCUAGAAUCAGAGGACAGGCUGACCUAAAAACCAACUCAGUAUGCAGCUUUUCAAAGCAAUGAGUCAGGCAGGGCUUUUGACAUAAUGUCCUCUGCAGUUCAUUUUAAACAAGGAUACAAAGUAUUAUUAAAUGUAUAUUUUUAAUAAAGCCAAUAGUUAUUUUACUUAUAGGAGCUUUAAAAGAUACAAAAUGUAGAGUUCCAGUUUGGAAGCAUUGUAACUAUACACACAAUGUCCUGCUGAUGCCCUAGCAAGGCACCCACGCCCAACCAUGCAAAGGACACACACGUUCACACAUGCACACACAUGCGCUUUGGCGAGACCCCUCUGCCAAGCGCAGCACCUGGAAUUACCAGUGUUCAGAGCAAGGCGGUGCCGGGAACACAGCACCUACAUGGAGACCACACAAACGGCUUCACACAGUCUCACAGCCCAUGGAGAUGCAAUUAGAAAAUGUCUUCCUUAAUAGAGAAAAACAAACUGGAAAGUGACAAUUAGUGACGUCACCUGUGCUGGAGCAUCAAGGAUUGACCUCUGUCCAAGGUGAGGCCUUUGGAGAGGCACUAUUAAAACAUGAGUACUUCAGUAUAAUGGAACUCGAAAUACAGGGUACUGUGGACACAUUACUGAAGGAAAUAGAAAACUAUCUUACAAGUAGAACAGCCAUAGACAACUUUAACAGAGAUUAGUGUGCACACCGUGACAGCUAACACAGACAAGAGCCACGCAGGGUUGGUGCAAAGCACGUGCCUGAAAAUGUCUAUAUACAAAACAGUUCUUUGUAAACAUGGUGAGGUGAAUGCUCAGAACCACGGCAAAAGAUCAUAAAUACAGGCAGCAAUGCAUCCCCACACAGCACAAAAGACAACACCUGAGGCCUGGGAAGAGCCUGACAACACAGUACUAAAAACUCAGGUGGCUGGGCUCAGACACCCUACGGGUCCUCUCAAAUUAGUGUGUGUGUUUACAUACAUACAUACAUACAUAUAUAUAUAUUCUUUUUUUUUUUUCUUGUUGAGACGGAAUCUCACUCUGUCACCCAGGCUGGAGUGCAGUGGCACAAUCUCAGCUCACUGUAACCUCCGCCUCCCGGGUUCAAGCGAUUCUUCUGCUUCAGCCUCCCGAGUAGCUGGGACUACAGGCGCACGCCACCACACCCGGCUAAUUUUUGUAUUUUUAGUAGAGAUGGGGUUUCACCAUAUUGGCCAGGCUGGUCUCGAACUCCUGACCUUAGGUGAUCCACCUGCCUCGGCCUCCCAAAGUGCUGGGAUUACAGGCGUGAGCCACCACGCCCAGCCUCUUUUUGGUA
This 4630-nucleotide long non-coding RNA is filed under the name Homo sapiens (human). Its description in RNAcentral is "HSALNT0397480". The record is from RNAcentral. Lineage: Eukaryota; Metazoa; Chordata; Mammalia; Primates; Hominidae.